This 2902-nucleotide ribosomal RNA is filed under the name Salmonella enterica subsp. enterica. Its description in RNAcentral is "bacterial LSU rRNA". It matches the Rfam family "Bacterial large subunit ribosomal RNA". The record is from RNAcentral. Lineage: Bacteria; Pseudomonadati; Pseudomonadota; Gammaproteobacteria; Enterobacterales; Enterobacteriaceae.
UUAAGCGACUAAGCGUACACGGUGGAUGCCCUGGCAGUCAGAGGCGAUGAAGGACGUGCUAAUCUGCGAUAAGCGCCGGUAAGGUGAUAUGAACCGUUAUAACCGGCGAUUUCCGAAUGGGGAAACCCAGUGUGUUUCGACACACUAUCAUUACGUGAAUACAUAGCGUAAUGAAGCGAACCGGGGGAACUGAAACAUCUAAGUACCCCGAGGAAAAGAAAUCAACCGAGAUUCCCCAGUAGCGGCGAGCGAACGGGGAGGAGCCCAGAGCCUGAAUCAGCAUGUGUGUUAGUGGAAGCGUCUGGAAAGGCGCGCGAUACAGGGUGACAGCCCCGUACACAAAAGCGCAUGUGCUGUGAGCUCGAUGAGUAGGGCGGGACACGUGGUAUCCUGUCUGAAUAUGGGGGGACCAUCCUCCAAGGCUAAAUACUCCUGACUGACCGAUAGUGAACCAGUACCGUGAGGGAAAGGCGAAAAGAACCCCGGCGAGGGGAGUGAAAAAGAACCUGAAACCGUGUACGUACAAGCAGUGGGAGCACAGGUUUACCUGUGUGACUGCGUACCUUUUGUAUAAUGGGUCAGCGACUUAUAUUCUGUAGCAAGGUUAACCGAAUAGGGGAGCCGUAGGGAAACCGAGUCUUAACCGGGCGUUAAGUUGCAGGGUAUAGACCCGAAACCCGGUGAUCUAGCCAUGGGCAGGUUGAAGGUUGGGUAACACUAACUGGAGGACCGAACCGACUAAUGUUGAAAAAUUAGCGGAUGACCUGUGGCUGGGGGUGAAAGGCCAAUCAAACCGGGAGAUAGCUGGUUCUCCCCGAAAGCUAUUUAGGUAGCGCCUCGUGAAUUCAUCUCCGGGGGUAGAGCACUGUUUCGGCUAGGGGGCCAUCCCGGCUUACCAACCCGAUGCAAACUGCGAAUACCGGAGAAUGUUAUCACGGGAGACACACGGCGGGUGCUAACGUCCGUCGUGAAGAGGGAAACAACCCAGACCGCCAGCUAAGGUCCCAAAGUCAUGGUUAAGUGGGAAACGAUGUGGGAAGGCCCAGACAGCCAGGAUGUUGGCUUAGAAGCAGCCAUCAUUUAAAGAAAGCGUAAUAGCUCACUGGUCGAGUCGGCCUGCGCGGAAGAUGUAACGGGGCUAAACCAUGCACCGAAGCUGCGGCAGCGACACUGUGUGUUGUUGGGUAGGGGAGCGUUCUGUAAGCCUGUGAAGGUGGCCUGUGAGGGUUGCUGGAGGUAUCAGAAGUGCGAAUGCUGACAUAAGUAACGAUAAAGCGGGUGAAAAGCCCGCUCGCCGGAAGACCAAGGGUUCCUGUCCAACGUUAAUCGGGGCAGGGUGAGUCGACCCCUAAGGCGAGGCCGAAAGGCGUAGUCGAUGGGAAACGGGUUAAUAUUCCCGUACUUGGUGUUACUGCGAAGGGGGGACGGAGAAGGCUAUGUUGGCCGGGCGACGGUUGUCCCGGUUUAAGCGUGUAGGCUGGUUUUCCAGGCAAAUCCGGAAAAUCAAGGCUGAGGCGUGACGACGAGGCACUACGGUGCUGAAGCAACAAAUGCCCUGCUUCCAGGAAAAGCCUCUAAGCAUCAGGUAACAUCAAAUCGUACCCCAAACCGACACAGGUGGUCAGGUAGAGAAUACCAAGGCGCUUGAGAGAACUCGGGUGAAGGAACUAGGCAAAAUGGUGCCGUAACUUCGGGAGAAGGCACGCUGACACGUAGGUGAAGUGAUUUACUCAUGGAGCUGAAGUCAGUCGAAGAUACCAGCUGGCUGCAACUGUUUAUUAAAAACACAGCACUGUGCAAACACGAAAGUGGACGUAUACGGUGUGACGCCUGCCCGGUGCCGGAAGGUUAAUUGAUGGGGUCAGCGCAAGCGAAGCUCCUGAUCGAAGCCCCGGUAAACGGCGGCCGUAACUAUAACGGUCCUAAGGUAGCGAAAUUCCUUGUCGGGUAAGUUCCGACCUGCACGAAUGGCGUAAUGAUGGCCAGGCUGUCUCCACCCGAGACUCAGUGAAAUUGAACUCGCUGUGAAGAUGCAGUGUACCCGCGGCAAGACGGAAAGACCCCGUGAACCUUUACUAUAGCUUGACACUGAACAUUGAGCCUUGAUGUGUAGGAUAGGUGGGAGGCUUUGAAGUGUGGACGCCAGUCUGCAUGGAGCCGACCUUGAAAUACCACCCUUUAAUGUUUGAUGUUCUAACGUGGACCCGUUACCCGGGUUGCGGACAGUGUCUGGUGGGUAGUUUGACUGGGGCGGUCUCCUCCUAAAGAGUAACGGAGGAGCACGAAGGUUGGCUAAUCCUGGUCGGACAUCAGGAGGUUAGUGCAAUGGCAUAAGCCAGCUUGACUGCGAGCGUGACGGCGCGAGCAGGUGCGAAAGCAGGUCAUAGUGAUCCGGUGGUUCUGAAUGGAAGGGCCAUCGCUCAACGGAUAAAAGGUACUCCGGGGAUAACAGGCUGAUACCGCCCAAGAGUUCAUAUCGACGGCGGUGUUUGGCACCUCGAUGUCGGCUCAUCACAUCCUGGGGCUGAAGUAGGUCCCAAGGGUAUGGCUGUUCGCCAUUUAAAGUGGUACGCGAGCUGGGUUUAGAACGUCGUGAGACAGUUCGGUCCCUAUCUGCCGUGGGCGCUGGAGAACUGAGGGGGGCUGCUCCUAGUACGAGAGGACCGGAGUGGACGCAUCACUGGUGUUCGGGUUGUCAUGCCAAUGGCACUGCCCGGUAGCUAAAUGCGGAAGAGAUAAGUGCUGAAAGCAUCUAAGCACGAAACUUGCCCCGAGAUGAGUUCUCCCUGAGACUUAAAGUCUCCUGAAGGAACGUUGAAGACGACGACGUUGAUAGGCCGGGUGUGUAAGCGCAGCGAUGCGUUGAGCUAACCGGUACUAAUGAACCGUGAGGCUUAACCUU